UCAGGACGAACGCUGGCGGCGUGCCUAAUACAUGCAAGUCGAGCGGACAGAUGGGAGCUUGCUCCCUGAUGUUAGCGGCGGACGGGUGAGUAACACGUGGGUAACCUGCCUGUAAGACUGGGAUAACUCCGGGAAACCGGGGCUAAUACCGGAUGCUUGAUUGAACCGCAUGGUUCAAUUAUAAAAGGUGGCUUUUAGCUACCACUUACAGAUGGACCCGCGGCGCAUUAGCUAGUUGGUGAGGUAACGGCUCACCAAGGCRACGAUGCGUAGCCGACCUGAGAGGGUGAUCGGCCACACUGGGACUGAGACACGGCCCAGACUCCUACGGGAGGCAGCAGUAGGGAAUCUUCCGCAAUGGACGAAAGUCUGACGGAGCAACGCCGCGUGAGUGAUGAAGGUUUUCGGAUCGUAAAACUCUGUUGUUAGGGAAGAACAAGUACCGUUCGAAUAGGGCGGUACCUUGACGGUACCUAACCAGAAAGCCACGGCUAACUACGUGCCAGCAGCCGCGGUAAUACGUAGGUGGCAAGCGUUGUCCGGAAUUAUUGGGCGUAAAGCGCGCGCAGGCGGUUUCUUAAGUCUGAUGUGAAAGCCCCCGGCUCAACCGGGGAGGGUCAUUGGAAACUGGGGAACUUGAGUGCAGAAGAGGAGAGUGGAAUUCCACGUGUAGCGGUGAAAUGCGUAGAGAUGUGGAGGAACACCAGUGGCGAAGGCGACUCUCUGGUCUGUAACUGACGCUGAGGCGCGAAAGCGUGGGGAGCGAACAGGAUUAGAUACCCUGGUAGUCCACGCCGUAAACGAUGAGUGCUAAGUGUUAGAGGGUUCCGCC
This 832-nucleotide ribosomal RNA is filed under the name Bacillus sp. (in: firmicutes). RNAcentral describes it as "bacterial SSU rRNA". It matches the Rfam family "Bacterial small subunit ribosomal RNA", at positions 24 to 837 of the family's 1533-position model. The record is from RNAcentral. Lineage: Bacteria; Bacillati; Bacillota; Bacilli; Caryophanales; Bacillaceae.